AACGAACGCUGGCGGCAUGCCUAACACAUGCAAGUCGAACGAGACCUUCGGGUCUAGUGGCGCACGGGUGCGUAACGCGUGGGAAUCUGCCCUUGGGUUCGGAAUAACUCGCCGAAAGGCGUGCUAAUACCGGAUGAUGACGUAAGUCCAAAGAUUUAUCGCCCAAGGAUGAGCCCGCGUUGGAUUAGCUAGUUGGUGAGGUAAAGGCUCACCAAGGCGACGAUCCAUAGCUGGUCUGAGAGGAUGAUCAGCCACACUGGGACUGAGACACGGCCCAGACUCCUACGGGAGGCAGCAGUGGGGAAUAUUGGACAAUGGGCGAAAGCCUGAUCCAGCAAUGCCGCGUGAGUGAUGAAGGCCUUAGGGUUGUAAAGCUCUUUUACCCGGGAUGAUAAUGACCGUACCGGGAGAAUAAGCGCCGGCUAACUCCGUG
RNAcentral lists this ribosomal RNA (433 nucleotides) under uncultured bacterium. RNAcentral describes it as "partial 16S ribosomal RNA". It matches the Rfam family "Bacterial small subunit ribosomal RNA", at positions 29 to 507 of the family's 1533-position model. The record is from RNAcentral.